This 460-nucleotide ribosomal RNA is filed under the name uncultured bacterium. RNAcentral's name for it is "partial 16S ribosomal RNA". It matches the Rfam family "Bacterial small subunit ribosomal RNA", at positions 338 to 795 of the family's 1533-position model. The record is from RNAcentral.
CCUACGGGCGGCAGCAGUGAGGAAUAUUGGUCAAUGGACGCAAGUCUGAACCAGCCAUGCCGCGUGCAGGAAGACGGCUCUAUGAGUUGUAAACUGCUUUUGUACGAGGGUAAACGCAGAUACGCGUAUCUGUCUGAAAGUAUCUUACGAAUAAGGAUCGGCUAACUCCGUGCCAGCAGCCGCGGUAAUACGGAGGAUUCAAGCGUUAUCCGGAUUUAUUGGGUUUAAAGGGUGCGUAGGCGGUCGGAUAAGUUAGAGGUGAAAUCCCGAGGCUCAACUUCGGAAUUGCCUCUGAUACUGUUCGGCGAGAGAGUAGUUGCGGUAGGCGGAAUGUAUGGUGUAGCGGUGAAAUGCUUAGAGAUCAUACAGAACACCGAUUGCGAAGGCAGCUUACCAAGCUACGUCUGACGUUGAGGCACGAAAGCGUGGGGAGCAAACAGGAUUAGAUACCCGAGUAGUC